AGAGUUUGAUCCUGGCUACAGAAUCAACGCUGGCGGCGUGCCUCAGACAUGCAAGUCGAACGAUUAAAGCUCUCUUCGGAGAGUGUAUAGAGUGGCGCACGGGUGAGUAACACGUAAGUAAUCUACCCUCGAGUGGGGAAUAACAACCGGAAACGGUUGCUAAUACCGCAUAAUGCAGCGGCACCGCAAGGUGACAGUUGUUAAAGAUUUAUCGCUUGAGGAGGAGCUUGCGGCAGAUUAGCUAGUUGGUAGGGUAACGGCUUACCAAGGCUACGAUCUGUAACCGGUCUAAGAGGACGGUCGGUCACACUGACACUGAAUAACGGGUCAGACUCCUACGGGAGGCAGCAGUCGGAAUUUUGGGCAAUGGGCGAAAGCCUGACCCAGCAACGCCGCGUGAAGGAUGAAGUAUUUCGGUAUGUAAACUUCGAAAGAAUAGGAAGAAUUAAUGACGGUACUAUUUAUAAGGUCCGGCUAACUACGUG
This 485-nucleotide ribosomal RNA is filed under the name uncultured bacterium. RNAcentral describes it as "bacterial SSU rRNA". It matches the Rfam family "Bacterial small subunit ribosomal RNA", at positions 8 to 507 of the family's 1533-position model. The record is from RNAcentral.